GCCGGCAGCUAGCUCUCUACAACUCUCGCAUGGUUGACCACCGAAGCUAAGCAGGGCUGCGCCCGGUCAGUGCCUGGAUAGGAGACAACAUGGGAAAGCUAAGUUGCUGCCGGAA
Danio rerio (zebrafish) is the source of this 115-nucleotide ribosomal RNA. The record is from Ensembl. NCBI's taxonomy places the organism in Eukaryota, Metazoa, Chordata, Actinopteri, Cypriniformes, Danionidae.